This 253-nucleotide ribosomal RNA is filed under the name uncultured bacterium. Its description in RNAcentral is "partial 16S ribosomal RNA". It matches the Rfam family "Bacterial small subunit ribosomal RNA", at positions 524 to 776 of the family's 1533-position model. The record is from RNAcentral.
UACGAAGGGUGCAAGCGUUAAUCGGAAUUACUGGGCGUAAAGCGUGCGCAGGCGGCUUGCCAAGUCAGAUGUGAAAGCCCCGGGCUCAACCCGGGAACUGCGUUUGAAACUGGCAGGCUAGAGUUUGGCAGAGGGGGGUGGAAUUCCACGUGUAGCAGUGAAAUGCGUAGAGAUGUGGAGGAACACCGAUGGCGAAGGCAGCCCCCUGGGCCAAAACUGACGCUCAGGCACGAAAGCGUGGGGAGCAAACAGG